GCUCAUCUGCCAUCGCAGGCCUAGAACUGUAGGCAUGCAGCAGUGAGUUCCGGCCUUCGGUGUGCGAGGGUUAAAGGGCAUGGAAGAGUGAACCUGUGAGGAAAAGGAAUUCAGUUUCCAUAAUGUUACCACAUUGUUUUUUGAAAGUACUCAGGGAAGGAGGCCCUUAGAGCUGGGGCUGCAGAACGGACUUCAGAGGCCUAGAAGCAGGAGAGGUGCAAGAUCCAUCAGAACAAGAGAGGGGUAACACAGCAGGUGGGUUAAGUCCAGCAGUGUGAAUUGUUAGGAGCUGUCUUCCUGUCGAUUUCUUGAAAGAGACACCAUGUGGUCAGGUGAGAGGUUAGCAAUGCAGUCACCAUCUCAGUGUUAAGCACCUCUAUUAGUUCUCUAGAGUAACUGAACAUAUAGAAUGAAUCUAUGUGCAUAGAAAGGGGGCUUAUUAGAAUGACUUACAGCAACAAUGGCUGACUAUGGACAGAAAUUCCAAGGGUGCAGUAAUUGCUCAGUCCAGCUGGAUGUUUCAGUUGGUCUUCAAGAUAUCCUGGAAUUCAAGGGGUUGGGGAUUUGGCUCAGUGGUAGAGCGCUUGCCUAGCAAGCACGAGGCCCUGGGUUCGGUCCCCAGCUCCGGAAAAAAAAAAAAAAAAGAUAUCCUGGAAUUCUAAAGGAGUAGGUGUUGUUUCCCUAAUUGGUUCUUGAUUGUGUCAAUAAAAAGGCAGAAGCUAAUUGCUGGGCAAAAGGAAAAA
This is a long non-coding RNA of Rattus norvegicus (Norway rat), 743 nucleotides long. RefSeq lists it as uncharacterized. NCBI's taxonomy places the organism in Eukaryota, Metazoa, Chordata, Mammalia, Rodentia, Muridae. The record is from RefSeq and is a predicted model, not a curated record.